GGGGAUGUAGCUCAGUUGGCUAGAGCGGUUGACUGGCAGUCAAGAGGUCGUGGGUUCGAGCCCCAUCUUCUCCA
RNAcentral lists this transfer RNA (74 nucleotides) under Polaribacter sp. Its description in RNAcentral is "tRNA-Ala". It matches the Rfam family "tRNA". Rfam says of the family: Transfer RNA (tRNA) molecules are approximately 80 nucleotides in length. Their secondary structure includes four short double-helical elements and three loops (D, anti-codon, and T loops). The record is from RNAcentral. Lineage: Bacteria; Pseudomonadati; Bacteroidota; Flavobacteriia; Flavobacteriales; Flavobacteriaceae.